GCAGCAGCCGCGGUAAUACAGAGGGUGCGAGCGUUAAUCGGAUUUACUGGGCGUAAAGCGUGCGUAGGCGGCUUUUUAAGUCGGAUGUGAAAUCCCUGAGCUUAACUUAGGAAUUGCAUUCGAUACUGGGAAGCUAGAGUAUGGGAGAGGAUGGUAGAAUUCCAGGUGUAGCGGUGAAAUGCGUAGAGAUCUGGAGGAAUACCGAUGGCGAAGGCAGCCAUCUGGCCUAAUACUGACGCUGAGGUACGAAAGCAUGGGGAGCAAACAGGAUUAGAUACCCCUGUAGUCCCUGUCUCUUAUAC
RNAcentral lists this ribosomal RNA (302 nucleotides) under uncultured bacterium. Its description in RNAcentral is "partial 16S ribosomal RNA". It matches the Rfam family "Bacterial small subunit ribosomal RNA", at positions 508 to 807 of the family's 1533-position model. The record is from RNAcentral.